Molecule: long non-coding RNA, 1585 nt
Organism: Rhipicephalus sanguineus (brown dog tick)
Lineage: Eukaryota; Metazoa; Arthropoda; Arachnida; Ixodida; Ixodidae
Exons: 3
Source: RefSeq, a predicted model, not a curated record
GGGUGACGGCCCCUGCGGCUUCCAGUGUUCUUUCACGGGGUGGGCGUGUAGGUCAUAAAACGACGAUGUCAAGGACGUUCUCCGCUCUUCCCGUACUCGUAGUCGCCUCCAAAUUGCGGGCCGCUGCGGUCGCAACCCUGAAAACGCGUCCCCCCGGGUUGCCCUUCUUCCUCCUUUUCGCCACGGGGUCGUCCUAAAAAGCUUCUCCGAAGUGGGGGGCUGCUUCCCAAUAUUCGACAAACACAACAAUUGUGUUGUGAGCAUGGACGAGCACGUGGAACUCACUCCGGCUGUGCGUCGCCUGUUGCUGGGCGUGCUUACGAACGGCGGGAACGAUCUCAAUGGUAAGUGCUACGUACUUCACACUGAUAAUAAAUUCUGCCCGUAAUGAUAAAUUUUGAUAGCUCCGCGUGAAGGCUGGUCACAUAGUCGUACGGUAGGUAGGUGCACGUGGCAACGACCGCAAUCGGCGCUCGCAAAAAUGCGGCACGUUCUGAGCAGGACUUUUUUUUCCAUCUGAGUAGUUACGUACCUGCCGCCUUAGAAGUCCUACUGCUUUAGAAUAUCACAGGCGCGUCGGAAUUUUCUCAACGCUCACCAAGCAUAUCUGCUUUACCACCUUUGCUAAAAAUGCACGGCGAGCUCCCUGUGUUCGCACAUGAAUACGUGCAUGAAAAAUUUACUAGAGAAGUAACGCUUUCUUGGUGCUAAUUGACCUCUAUUCUUUUGGCGUUAACCCGCAAAUGUUUUUUUUUUAAUGUAUUUGAAGGUGCUACCGAGUGUGACGCCGCCGACGUUCUGACACCUCCACAGAGCGCAUCUCUAGGAAAUGAUUCUGCAGCAUCCAGCGGAUCGUCAAGAAGUGAGGCUGGCCAGCCAAGGGCUCCUGCACGUGCUGCAGGGUGUGAGUGGACGAGUGGUGAGACAAAGCUGCUGCUUGACCUAUACGCCUCAUAUUUUCCAAGUCGGCCCUCUAAAAAAAUUCCGCAACAAGAAGGCCAUGUUUGAAAGAAUCGCCACAGAGAUCAAAGAUAAACUCAGUGUAACACGGACUGUGAGCAGUGCUGCUCUAGAUACAAAACCGUACUGAAAAGAAAAAGUGUGGCAGCUGGCAACAAUAACAAGUCUGGCAAUUCCCCACAAGAAGUCCCCUACGAGGAUGAACUCGAAAAAAUCAAGUGGCUGGAUGACAGCAUAGAACCAGAAGUGGUACGUGAUGCAAGUGGAGUGGUGUCGAAAAAGACACGUCCACAAUCAUUAACUGAGUCCAUCUCGCAAGCCGAUUCAAGCCCGUCAACAUCAAACACUGCAUCCAGCUCCGUUGGGCAAGAGGACGUCCCUGAUGCAAAAAAAAAGCGCCCGAAUUCAGCACGGGAGCUGCAUAUGCAAGUAUUCUUUGAGAAGAUGAAUGAAUUGGAUGAACGCCGAGCAAAACAUAAGGCAGAAAGAGAGAGCAAGAGGGAAGAGCGGCGACUUGCCGAAACACAGCGACGGGAGGAGAUGCAUGCAGACAAGAUGAACCUUCUCCGUGAAAUUUUCAACUUAGACAAAAAUAAAUAAAAUGUGAAAAGCAUGUUUAUUGUAA